AUGCUUACCGAUGGAGAGGCAGAUGAGCAGAUAUACACCAACAAGAUAUUUAACAAAUUCCAGGAAGAAAUAAAGCGGGCCAGCAUGUACACAGCUUACCAGGUUGACGAACAUACCUUCAAGGUGUGUACUCUCAUGGGCAUGUUCGAUUCAAAACCUGAAGACCCGGACAAGGGACGAAACUACUUUGUCAAUGCCUCAAUAACCGAAGGUGAAUACUACAGUCAAUGUUGCAAAUACGAAUGGGACGGGAUUGUGUGGUGCCACAUACUCAAAGUAAUGGACAUGCAUGCGAUCAUGCGAUUGGCCCGCCAUUUCAUACGAUGGCGGUGGGCUUGGGAUGCUAACAAUGCAUUGGGGCCACAAACAUCAACUGCAGUUUUGGUUGUACAUGAUGACAGGCCAGAGGCAACCAUGGAGUCUGUGAGGCAUGUUGUAUUGACAAAGAACUAUGCUGAGCUAAUAGAUGAAGCAUGCCAGAGUGAUGAGACAACCAGGGUGGCAGAAAAGCACAGGAAGGCCCUGAAAAGAAAGCUUGAUGAGACCAAGAAGAGGAAGGCUGAAGAAGCCUUUCAUCUGUUCCCCCGCACCUCAAGUGUGCCUUCGUCCACGAGUCCAUCCUCUGAAAACUCGGAGGUAGGAUCUGGAACAGCAAGCACACAGACUCAGGUUAGGAACCCGCCCUGUUCCGUCACAAAAGGGCGUCCAAAAGAGACACGAUACAAAUCGGGGAUGGAAAUUCAAGCAAAGCAUAAGAAGGCAAAGAAAGGGGCGGGUAAUCCAUAA
RNAcentral lists this ribosomal RNA (786 nucleotides) under Triticum aestivum (bread wheat). RNAcentral describes it as "partial small subunit ribosomal RNA". Lineage: Eukaryota; Viridiplantae; Streptophyta; Magnoliopsida; Poales; Poaceae. The record is from RNAcentral.